AGGGAAUUAGUUUAAGAAAAACCUUUGAUUUCGGCUCAAAAGCUUAUGGUUAAAGUCCAUAAUUACCUA
RNAcentral lists this transfer RNA (69 nucleotides) under Zoarces gillii. RNAcentral describes it as "tRNA-Arg". It matches the Rfam family "tRNA". From Rfam's summary of the family: Transfer RNA (tRNA) molecules are approximately 80 nucleotides in length. The record is from RNAcentral. RNAcentral also lists the same sequence under 1 other name. Lineage: Eukaryota; Metazoa; Chordata; Actinopteri; Perciformes; Zoarcidae.